This 677-nucleotide long non-coding RNA is filed under the name Lupinus angustifolius (narrow-leaved blue lupine). Its description in RNAcentral is "long non-coding RNA (LANG_LNC000213)". Lineage: Eukaryota; Viridiplantae; Streptophyta; Magnoliopsida; Fabales; Fabaceae. The record is from RNAcentral.
UGAUGAGUUUAUUCCCGAAUCCAACUUUCUCUAUUUGUUACAUAAAUUGAACAUCGAAUUAGGAACGAUGUUGUUGAGGAAGUUGUUUUUGGAUAUUUGCAUCAGAUACAAAAAGUUUAUCUCUUGAACGCCCACUACAUACACAUUUAAAAUGAAUGCAAAUACAACAUAUACAAGGAUCGCAAACACAUCCACCACACUCUGCAUUGUUUUUGCAUGGCUGACCAAAUUGUACAUCUUCAUGCAUCAUACCUGAAAAAUGAAAAUGCAUUCAAAUUUUUAUUAAAUUAAGUAUUAUAUAUUCAUAUAAUUAAUAUAAAUAUACAUUAAGAUAAGACUGUUAUCCCCUAACAAUGUAACAUUUAUGUACUAAAUAUUGUUAGGGAGGCUGAUAACAACUGCGUCAUAUCUAUUCAUAUUUAAUAGAAAAUUGUUAGAAAAAUAUUUCUCAUCUAUACAAGAAUCAUAGAAUAAGAAUAACAUAGGAAUACGGUGAAGUAUAGAUAUAAUUAUAUUCCGGGAAUAAUGUAACUAUUGUGAUAUAGAUGAUAAAAUAUUUUGUUGCAAAUAAGAAAAUUUACCUGAAGCAGAUAUUAUGAGGACAACAAAGAAAGCUAACUUGACCAAAUGUGUAUACAUUUUUUUUGGCUAUAUCAAUGAUAUCUAUGGUCCUCGUC